GGCCCCGUGGCUCAGUCGGAUAGAGCGGCGGAUUCCUAAUCCGCAGGUCGGGGGUUCGAAUCCCUCCGGGGUCGCCA
This 77-nucleotide transfer RNA is filed under the name Rhodospirillaceae bacterium. RNAcentral describes it as "tRNA-Arg". It matches the Rfam family "tRNA". From Rfam's summary of the family: Transfer RNA (tRNA) molecules are approximately 80 nucleotides in length. Their secondary structure includes four short double-helical elements and three loops (D, anti-codon, and T loops). Lineage: Bacteria; Pseudomonadati; Pseudomonadota; Alphaproteobacteria; Rhodospirillales; Rhodospirillaceae. RNAcentral also lists the same sequence under 1 other name. The record is from RNAcentral.